RNAcentral lists this ribosomal RNA (673 nucleotides) under uncultured bacterium. RNAcentral describes it as "bacterial SSU rRNA". It matches the Rfam family "Bacterial small subunit ribosomal RNA", at positions 139 to 808 of the family's 1533-position model. The record is from RNAcentral.
GGGGAUAAGCGGAAGAAAUUCCGUCUAAUACCGCAUAAUACAAUUUGGAGACAUCUCCGGGUUGUCAAAGGAGUGAUCCGGCAGAGGAUGGACAUGCGGCGCAUUAGCUAGUCGGCGGGGUAACGGCCCACCGAGGCUACGAUGCGUAGGGGUUCUGAGAGGAAGGUCCCCCACACUGGUACUGAGACACGGACCAGACUCCUACGGGAGGCAGCAGUGAGGAAUAUUGGUCAAUGGGCGGAAGCCUGAACCAGCCAAGUCGCGUGAGGGAAGACGGUCCUAUGGAUUGUAAACCUCCUUUGCAGGGGAGCAAGGCGCGGUACGUGUACCGCGAAGGAGAGUACCCUGAGAAAAAGCAUCGGCUAACUCCGUGCCAGCAGCCGCGGUAAUACGGAGGAUGCGAGCGUUAUCCGGAUUUAUUGGGUUUAAAGGGUGCGCAGGCGGACUGUUAAGUCAGCGGUAAAAUGUCGGUGCUCAACACCGGCCGGCCGUUGAAACUGGCAGCCUUGAGUGAGCGAGAAGUAUGCGGAAUGCGUGGUGUAGCGGUGAAAUGCAUAGAUAUCACGCAGAACUCCGAUUGCGAAGGCAGCAUACCGGCGCUCAACUGACGCUCAGGCACGAAAGCGUGGGUAUCGAACAGGCUUAGAUACCCUGGUAGUCCACGCAGUAAACG